Molecule: long non-coding RNA, 952 nt
Filed under: Malus domestica (apple)
Lineage: Eukaryota; Viridiplantae; Streptophyta; Magnoliopsida; Rosales; Rosaceae
Description: long non-coding RNA (MDOM_LNC019994)
Source: RNAcentral
AAUUGGUAGCUUAAGGUGACUACAAUCAAAGAGAAUGGUUGACUUUGAAGAAACCAUCUUUGAGAUAGUCUUAGUUUCAAUUAAUUCGAAGAUUGCUAGCUACAACUAAAUGGUGAUUCAAUGUUUGGACAUAAUAUGGGUUUCCGAAACCAUUAUUAAGAUAGUCUUGAUAAUAUAUGUCUAAAACUAAAAAUCACAAGACAUGUAAGUUGUAGAGAUCCAUCCAUCAUGAAUCUUAGCAAGCUAGUGGGAGCUAUAUGCGUCUUAUGAGAGAAAGAUCAAAUCGUUUGAUUUCUCAUAAAGAUAUAAAUGAAUCUUUUGUUUACUAGGUUUACAAAAGAUUAGUGGGAGUUAAUCAUGUUCCUAAAAUUAAAAUAUAUAUGAUAUAUUAAUUUUGGAAAUGAAAAGAAUACUUCUUCGUUAAUGUUAUGACUUUAAGCAUUCUAUAAAGAUAGAAUGUAUAUGGGAAACAUAGUCUGUAUACAUGGGAUGGAAAUCUAUAUUGAUAGAUUUUAGGAUAUAAUUGGAUUAUAUCAUACCCUAAUAAUAGACAAAAUAUGCUAGGAAGUCUUUCAUAUGAUGAUAAACUUCAAUUAGGAGGACAAUUCUAGUUGGACUAAGAAGUUGCUCUUCUCAAAGAGAACGUACUCUUUGACUCCCAAAGAAAUAAUGCGUAAAUAGAAUCCUUUAUACAUACGCAGAAAGGUGAUUUAUGUAUUUCAUAUUGUAUGAAAAACAUUGAUAUGAGUUGUACCUAGAACGGUACAAGACGAUAUCAGUGCAAGCCCCGGAUCAGAACCAUGGCAACUGUCAAGUGAGUCCUUAAGUAUUUAAGAAAUACUAAAGGAUAUAUUCCUCAAAGAAUGUUGAAGAAUUAGAGUAACGUAAUGGAAGUGUAAAUGUAUUAGAUCAUAGGAUUGUCAAUUGGGCAUUGACAGUCCGUAAAGAUCGG